This 350-nucleotide ribosomal RNA is filed under the name uncultured bacterium. RNAcentral's name for it is "bacterial SSU rRNA". It matches the Rfam family "Bacterial small subunit ribosomal RNA", at positions 1042 to 1393 of the family's 1533-position model. The record is from RNAcentral.
UGCAUGGCUGUCGUCAGCUCGUGUUGUGAAAUGUUGGGUUAAGUCCCGCAACGAGCGCAACCCUUAUCCUUUGUUGCCAGCGGUUCGGCCGGGAACUCAAAGGAGACUGCCAGUGAUAAACUGGAGGAAGGUGGGGAUGACGUCAAGUCAUCAUGGCCCUUACGAGUAGGGCUACACACGUGCUACAAUGGCGCAUACAAAGAGAAGCGACCUCGCGAGAGCAAGCGGACCUCAUAAAGUGCGUCGUAGUCCGGAUUGGAGUCUGCAACUCGACUCCAUGAAGUCGGAAUCGCUAGUAAUCGUAGAUCAGAAUGCUACGGUGAAUACGUUCCCGGGUCUUGUACACACGC